GCCCAUGUAGCUCAGCCGGUAGAGCACUUCCUUGGUAAGGAAGAGGUCGGCGGUUCGAGCCCGCUCGUGGGCUCCA
RNAcentral lists this transfer RNA (76 nucleotides) under Hippea maritima DSM 10411. RNAcentral's name for it is "tRNA-Thr (GGT) (tRNA-Thr-GGT-1-1)". It matches the Rfam family "tRNA". From Rfam's summary of the family: Transfer RNA (tRNA) molecules are approximately 80 nucleotides in length. Their secondary structure includes four short double-helical elements and three loops (D, anti-codon, and T loops). The record is from RNAcentral. Lineage: Bacteria; Pseudomonadati; Campylobacterota; Desulfurellia; Desulfurellales; Hippeaceae.